AGGGGGAGAUGUGAAGGAAGAUGACUCAUAAUCUUCCAAACAAACCACCCAGAGAAACUGACCGCCGAGAUCAAGGGUAUAUUUCACAGGCACAAGUGGGGUUCUUUGGUUGAUUUGAGUGAGGUAUUGGAGAGUUGAUGCAUCUUUGGUGACGGGAAGAAUUAAUGCUUUUGGUCUAAAAGAUGUUUGGGCUAUGCAGGGAGAGAUGAUCACGGAAAGGACAAGUGAGCAAAAGAGAAGAUAAUUGUAAGAGAGAGCCAUAUCUUUGGCUCUAAGUGCUGCGUUGUGGAUAGAGUACUGCGGUAGAGUUGUGAGCAGCCAGCUGAAUUUAUAGUAGAUUUCUGAACGCGUAAAAGCUUUCAGUCAUGACAAAAUCCAAAUUGCACAAGUUGACAAGUUGUAACAAUUAAUGGGUAUUCUUCAAAUUCUAUAACGGCUGCUAGCCACCAAUUGGCAAAAGCAAUUAAUUGUCUCUGGCUGGCAUAGCUCAGAUCAGUAAACUGGUAAUAACAAGCAGUACGUAAUUUUUCACUUUUGAUGCACAUAUAUAUAAAGAAAAUAAUAUUUUUUUUUUAUAUUAAUCACGAGGUAUCCUGAGGAGGGCUCCAACUGUGGGAGGCACCUUUAACCCCGUACCACAACCCAGAUUAGAAGUCUCCGCUCGAAUCGGGAGGCACAGAUUCUCCCAACAAAGGCGACUUCCCUGCGACUUGAACUGGGGAGCAAACCCAGUCAAGCCACUUAAGGGGACUCUAUUGUCAGUGGAGCCAACACUUUGUUGGAUAUAAAGAAAAUAAUAUGGUAACAAUUAAUUCUAUUCAUAGAAUUGGUCAAACAGAGUCGUCAAUCAUAAAUUUACGUUGCUUGAUGAAUCGAUGAUCACAUUGUUGCCAACGAUCGCAAUUCUUAGCCCCUGACAGUGAAGAAAUUGUAAAACUGAAUAAAUGCUGCUGUUUGGCAGCUGAGAAAAUGCAGAGGAAAAUUCUUUAUUUUAGUAAUGAAUUGAUAUUUUGUACAUACCAACAAUCACGAAACGUGCAGCUAUUUAUACAUGCUACACUUACUAACUAAUUGCUUACUAACUAAUUAUUAAUCACAAGCUCACUCAGCUAAUCAAAUAACAGAAUACAGAGUAUGCAUUGUGAUGUUAGUUAGGCUGGUAACUGCUGCUGACGUGGACCUUCUGACGUGGCACAAAUGACAGCUGGUAACUUGACACGCUGACUCUUCUUCCUCACUUCUGCACAAUGAGCUAUCUUCACAGCCCCCCUCAAACUCAAAGGACAUGAAAAGACAUUGAGUUUGUCCCUUAAAUAAUUGAACUGAGGGGAAGAUAAAGGCUUGGUUAAGAUAUCUGCAAUCUGAUCUUCACUUGGCACAUAACAGAUUUUGAGAUCACCAGAUAACACUUUGUCUCGAAUAAAAUGAACAUCAAUCUCAAUGUGUUUGGUUCUUGAAUGGAACACAGGAUUCUUUGCUAGCUCUGUUGCACUUAUAUUAUCACACCAUAUUGUUGGUCUCUCUACACAGUAUACUUCCAUUUCCAGAAACAAUGACUUUAACCAAGCUAUCUCUGAAGCAGCUGAAGCAAGUGCUCUAUAUUCACUCUCAGCUGAAGACUUAGUGACUACUGUUUGCUUCUUUGAAGACCAUGAAAUCAGAUUAUUUCCAAGAUACACACAGUAGGCUCCAAUCGACUUCCUAUCAUCCAAGUCACUUCCCCAAUCUGCAUCAGUGAAUGCAGUGAUUUUCAAAUCACCAUCCUUUACAAACUUUAAGCCAUAAUCCUGUGUCUCCUUCAGGUAUUUAAGAACCCUUUUACAAGCCAUGAGAUGUUGCAUAGUUGGUGCAUAAACAUAUUGGCUCAACUUGUGAACAGAAUAAGCAAUUUCUGGUCUUGUCAAUAUCAGAUACUGGAGACCACCUACAAUGCUUCUAUAAUGAGUUGCAUCUUCAACAUAGUAACCCAAUUCUCCUUUAACUACCUUCUGCAACUUUGAGUCUUUGCCACUGCACAUUGGUGUUGUCACUCCUUUACACUCAAGCAUGUCUACUUUAGCAAGCAAAUCUCUGAUAUACUUCUUCUGAGACAAAUAAAUGCAAUCCUGACCAUACAACACUUCUAUACCAAGGAAAUAGGACAAUCUUCCUAGAUCUUUCAAUGCAAAAACAGUAUUAAACUGUUGUAUGAAGCUGUCCAAUUCUUCACUGUUAGGUCCAGUAACUAAUAUGUCAUCAACAUAUAUCAAUACCAUAAUGAGUGACACUUUAGUUUUUCUUAAGAAUAAGGAAGAAUCAGAUUUUGAAUUUCUGAAACCCCAUUGAAGAAGACAUCCCCUGAGCUUUUCAAACCAGGCUCUAGGAGCUUGCUUAAGACCAUAUAAAGCUUUGUGUAAUCUACAAACAUAGUUAGAUUUACUCUUAUCAACAAAGCCUUCAGGUUGCUGCAUAAACACUUCCUCUGAUAACUCACCAUUCAAGAAUGCAUUGUUGACAUCCACCUGUCUAACUAUCCACUGAUUCAUCACUGCAAGACUAAGAACUACUCUCACUGUUGCUGGCUUUACCACUGGGCUAAAGGUAUCAAAGUAAUUCACACCUUCAAUCUGUUGAAACCCUUUUGCCACCAAUCGAGCCUUAUACUUAGCUACACUGCCAUCAGUGUUAUACUUUAUUCUAUACACCCACUUAUUCCCAACAACUUUCUGAUUUUCUGUUCUUGGUACUAGAGACCAAGUUCUGUUUUCAAUUAGUGCAUCAUACUCAUUUUUCAUAGCUGUAAACCAAUUUGUGUCUUGCAAAGCUUCAUCAACUGAAUCUGGCUCUUUGUGAACUAACACUGCAGUAUACAUUUUUGGCUUAAAAAUACCUGUUUUUCCUCUUGUGGUCAUGGGGUGAUUGUUUUGAACAUGUUGAAUAUUGUUUGAGGUUAUUUGGGACUGAGAUGGUAAUGUAAUUUGAGUAGGAUCUGUAGUGUUUGGUGAGUCUAGAUCAUGAACAGGUUCAAGAGCAGGAUUGAGAUUUGGUGUUUGACAUUGUGUAGCUUCAUUUGCUUGUUGAUAAUCUGCUGAUGAGAACAGUUCUGUGCUGCUGGAACAUGCUGGAGAGUAGGAUUCAAAACUGCUGUUAUAAGGAUUUGACACAACAGGAAGAUUGGAUAAAUUGAAAACUUGAUGAGGGGACAAAGCAGAGAUGGAUAUUGAUUGUGUUUUGUUCUCAGAAUUGAAAGCAGGAUCUGAAGAAAAAGGAAAUGCAUUUUCAUCAAAUAUGACAUGCCUUGCUAUGUAUACACGACCAGAAUGAUGAAGGCAUUUAUAUCCUUUGUGAGCAGGGCUAUAACCAAUGAAUAUGCAUUUACUUGUGUGAAAAUCAAAUUUAUGCUUAUUGUAAUCUCUCAAAUAUGGAUAGCAAGCACAACCAAAACAUUUCAGCAUCUUAUAAUCAGCUUUAUGUUUGAAAAGUUUUUCAUAUGGUAUCAACAUUUUAAGAGCUGAAGUUGGUAACCUAUUGAUAUGAUACACUGAAGCAUGGAAGGAAUCCCACCAAAAAUGCAAAGGGAGUUUGGCUUGAGCUAACAAUGUAAGACCCAAUUCUACCACUUGUCUAUGUUUUCUCUCAACUAAGCCAUUCUGAUGAUGAGUAUGAGGACAAGAGUGCCUAAAUAAAAUGCCACACUGAUUUAAAAAUUCAGUGAAUGAUCUGUAUUCUCCCCCCCAGUCAGAUUGCAGUAUCUUAAUGGUUGUUUGGAAUUGGUUUUCAACUUGUAACUUGUAUAGCUUAAAAACCUCUAAAGCUUCUGAUUUCAAUUUCAAUGGGUAGAUCCAAGUAUAUCUAGUGAAAUCAUCAACAAAACUAAUAUAAUAUCUAAAACCUUCUCUUGAAAUAACUGGUGAGGGACCCCAAAGAUCAGUGUGUAUGAGCUCAAGAGCUGAUUUGGUUUUGAUUUCUGUAACUGGGAAAUGCAACUUGUGUAUCUUACCCAACUGACAUGCUUCACAGAAAUGUUGUGUUGCUUGCUUAACCAUAUUCAGAGAAAACUUAUCAGCAUGAUGGAGUUUAAGUAAAUGCAAUAAGCUUUGAGAAUUUGGGUGGCCAAAUCUUCUGUGUAGAAGAGCUAUUUUAUUAGGCUUAUCAGAACAUACAUCAAAACCAUUCUGUAAACAAUUGUUUGAAUUAUUUAGGUACUUUACAGAUGGCAUAUGAGAAGCAAGAUGACAGAAUGAUAACAUUGACAGAGGUUUAUUAGCUUGACUAUGAGACAGAGGAGAAUUCUUGGUAGAAGACAUAGGUUUAACCAGCAGUUUAUACAACCCUUUCUCAGCAAUGCCCUGCAUUAGAACUUGUCCCUUCAGCAAAUCCUUCACAAUACAAAAUGAUCCAAGAAAUUCAACAGAAAUGUUAUUGUCAGUGGUAAGUUUUGAAAUGCUUAUUAAGUUCUUGGUGAUAGAGGGAACAAGCAAGAUAUCUUUAAGUGCAAUAUGUAAAUCUGCAGGUUGAGAUUUUGAAUUCUUGAAUGAAAAAUAAGAGUCACCAAUAUGAGUUAUUGACAAACCUUCACCAUUGCCAAUAAUGAGCUUCUCAUUACCUCUAAACGCAUCUCUGAUAUUCAGAUUUCCCAUGCUAUUUGUCAGAUGAUGAGUGGCACCACUGUCUAGGUACCAACCUUCAUCUGCAGGUCCUUCACAAUAUGCAGCAGAAGCAGUUCCAACCCAGGGCAUACCAGAAUUAUCAGAUGCACAAGGAUAUCCAGACUGUGACAUGUGUAAUCCAUUAUUGUUGACAGGCCAUGGAUCAUCAUUUGUUGGAUAGUAAGGUAUGUAUGCAGGUUCAUAGUUAGCUAUAUAGGCAGACUUUGAACCUUUUCCUCUCUGAAAUUGUCUUGGUGACUGAGGUAUGUAAUUCUUUUCAAAUCUAUGCCAGCAUUCAACAGCUGUAUGUCCUACUUUGAAGCAAAUCUGACAUGUAUUCAUAGAAUCAUCACUGUUGGAUACUUGUGACUCAAAAGGGGGUAAAUUUCCAGUACCAUUGAAACCAGUACUGCCAAAAGAGCCUCUUCCAGAAGAACCAAAUCUAUUGCUUCCCAUCAUCAUUUGAUUUCUUCCUUGAUUACCAAAAUGACCAGUUCCAGCAGGAAAACCCCUUGGAUGAGAAUUCAAAAACAUUCCUCUACCAUUAAACAUACCAUUUCUACCACCUGAGUGACCAUUAUAAUUACCCUGGACACCUCCUCUCCUAGUAAGACCUCUUAUUUGAGCAUAGUAUGCAUUCAUCAUACUAUUAUUAUUCCAGUUAGACAUAUUAGCAUAGUUUGCAUUAAUCAUGUGCUUUUCACUUUGAUUUUGUUCAAGCCUAGCCUCAUGAGUAAGUAAUAGGGCAUAAGCAUCAUCAUAUUCCAAUUUGCUUGCUGUGAUAAAGGUAGCUAAAUCCAAAUAUCCAGCUCCUAGACCAUUGAGGAUUUGCUGCAACAUAUCUCUAUCUGAUACAGGACUACCAGCACAUGCUAAUUUGUCUGUAAUUUGUUUCAUUUUUAAGCAAUAUUCUUCAAUACUUAGUGAAUCUUUUCUUAAGACACUCAUCUCGUACUUAAGUUGAAGAACUCUAGCCUCAGAUUGUACACCAAACCUUUUCUCUAGUGUUUUCCAUAUAUCAAAUGAAGUAGUGCAUGAGUGAACUAAACUGAGAAUACCUUCAGUUAUUGAGCUAAGAAGCCAGCUGAGUAAUGUUUGAUCUUGAGAUCUCCAGAUUGUGUAUUCAGGAUUCUCGAUCUGUUGAGAAGAGCUAGCAACUGAAGAUGCUAUGAAUUGGUUUGGUGCAAUCUUUUCUCCAUUAAUGUAUCCUUCAAGUCGAUUUCCUCUAAUGGAGGCCAGGACUUGAUUUUUCCAGAGCAUGUAAUUAGAUCUAUCCAAUUUGAUUGGUGUGAUGAAAGAAAAAGUUGUCUGAUUCGUAGCUACUGUAUUGUGAUUGUUUGUAAUAGCCAUGAUUGGCUCUGAUACCAUGAAGAAAUUGUAAAACUGAAUAAAUGCUGCUGUUUGGCAGCUGAGAAAAUGCAGAGGAAAAUUCUUUAUUUUAGUAAUGAAUUGAUAUUUUGUACAUACCAACAAUCACGAAACGUGCAGCUAUUUAUACAUGCUACACUUACUAACUAAUUGCUUACUAACUAAUUAUUAAUCACAAGCUCACUCAGCUAAUCAAAUAACAGAAUACAGAGUAUGCAUUGUGAUGUUAGUUAGGCUGGUAACUGCUGCUGACGUGGACCUUCUGACGUGGCACAAAUGACAGCUGGUAACUUGACACGCUGACUCUUCUUCCUCACUUCUGCACAAUGAGCUAUCUUCACAGACAGAGAUACAACUAAAAUCAACACAAAGUACGUAACAUAAAGCGAAAAUCCCAUUUACGGUUUGCAAUAACUCUGUUCAUUAACAUUCUUCUCAUGUAGUGGGAUUAAUUUAUGGUGGCUAAGCUAAGCAUGAUUACUUGUACUUCCAUCAUCUACGUAAGGCUUCAUAUUUCAUUAAUAUGUACGGCUAGGCGACUAACUCCAAACAUUCUAUUUUACAGUUGGUGGAAUGGUUGCUAACCGUACUGUAGUUGAUGACUAAGCUGGCUAAUUUUUGGGUGCUGAUCUAGACUCUUUCACUUGGUGAGAUUAUGCUGCUCCUGCGGCUGACAUUCUGUCUCUGACUUCUGCUAAGUUAAUUGCCCCUUAUAUUUUUGUUUUCUAAAUUGUCUGGCUUUUUUUUUUUUUUCGCGGUUUUGAGGAUUAUGUCUGGUCUGGUCUCUCCCCCUGCUUCUUUGCUUUGUGCUGCUACUUUCUUUAUUUAUUUUAAUAUAUCUCCCUCAAAUUUUUGAGGUUAAUUCAAAUUUUUUUUUUAAAAAAACUAACCGUAUACUUCAUCGUUUAGGCAACGUGUGAUAUGAAAAUAAACAUUUAUUAAUAUAAAUAUUAAUUCAUACUAACCUUAAUUAGUUAAUUAAUUUUACCAAAUGAAAAAGGGUUUUGGUCAUUUCCUAUUUAGAAGUUAGAAAAGUAUUUUCUAUUUUGAUCAUUAAUUUCUUAUCUCUUUUUUUUUUUUAAUAAGCUUUCCUAAUCCUAAUUAGAAUAGUAUCUUAAUUUUAUAUUGCUAUACAUACACAUAUGGCAGAAAAUUAUGAAAAGUUGAGUAUAGAUAAGCUCAACAUGGAUUAAAUCUAUUUUAUAAACCACUCUAAAUCACUAUAAGCCAAAUGUUAGAGAAAGAUCAAAUCAUAUUAUUGAGAGAAACUAACAAGGAAGACUCAUUUGUGACAUGUGAGAGUAAACAAGAGGUGGGAUUUCCUAAUUAAAAAUAGAGGCUUGCUAUAAACAAAUUCUCCGUACAAGAAUAUGUAAGAUAGUUGGGUUUUGGUCAAAUAAGAACAAAAAAUCUAAUUGUGAAAAGUCACAACGAAUCACUUAUAAAAAAUCACAAUAUUUGGUGAUGUCUCGGUGUUUAAAAGCCUAUAUAAGGACAAGGGAGAUGGCUUUCAAUAAUAAUCUCAUUCUUAAAAAAAAUAUAUUGUCUAUUUUUCUUACAACAAUUCUUAUCCUUAUCAAUUUCCUACAAGAACAGAAAAUUUACUAGAUAUAAAGUGUUCAUAUUCUCUUAGUGGGUUCUUCACUUUUGUUUGGUGCAGAUUCACAUUAAAGACUUGUCAUAUCCUAGUAGAGAUUGCUUAUAGGUUAAGAGACUUGUCGGUAAACCUAUAAGCAAUCUCUACCACGAUGGGACAAAUAACCCUUAAGAAAAGCAUAUUCGAUACAUGUUUCAAGUCUCCAUCCACUCCUGCUAUUAUUUUUAACAAAGGUCCCUACACAAAAUUCAAGAACCCAUUGUUCACUAGACGGUUGGACAAGUUUAGGCAAUACGGAUUGUGGGAACGAUCUGAAGAUUUUUAUCCCAAUGAUGAUAUCCCAUACACCAUUGGCGUCAGCAAUAACACUCGAGAAUGGUUCUUUGCUCAUGUUACUAGCAAAGUUGGAAAUAGCACAUUCCAACCUACCCACGGCAGAUUAUAUUUCAAUUGGAGAACGUCAGCAGCAAGGGAAAUUACACACUCCAAUUGGCCUUGUCAGCAGCUUCAUACUCUAAUUUACGGCUUCAGUUUAAUUUCAAUAUUUGUCAAAGAGACAGGCGACCUCUAUUCUCGACGUGGACAAUAGCAAAGGACAAUGCCAUUACUAGACAUGGGAUUCAUGGCUUGUGUAGAUUUUACGUCAUCAACGUGCCAAGCUAUUUGCUUUACAGAGGAAACAAUACAAUCUAUCUUACUUAGUCAAGAAAUAACAGCCAAUAAAUAACUGACCCUUCCUAGGGGUCGUGUAUGAUUCUAUUGGCUUUGGAGAACCACCAAAUUCCAACGACAGAAAGUAGAUUAUAUUCUAGAGGCAUUAAAAGAUGAAAAAUUACCAUGUAUAAAGAAACUGAAGGACCUAUAAGUCGUUUUUUCAUUUUUCUUCUUUUCUUAAAUUGAAGUACGUACAAGUUUAAAAAAUAAAUAGAAAAAUAGACCAUAAAUAUAGUAUAACUUUGUUAAAUUAAUAAUUUUGAUUAAAAACUUUAAUGAAAUAACAGUUUUUGUCGGUCCCAACUUAGGGCUAGCAUGAUAAAUUAAUAAUUCGAUAAAUUUAUUAGAUAAUAAAUUUUUCAAAAAAAAAAUCAUUUUCCUACAGGACCCAAUUAAUACAUAAAUUAAUUAAUGCUUAACUAAUUUAAAACUAAGUACGUAUGAUAUGUUUAUGAUUUUCUUUGUUGCACAUAUAUAAUGUUUUAUGCAUUUCAUUAGUCAUUGUUGCUUUCAUUAUACUUUUCAAAUGAGAACCAAUUUUUGUACUCCAUAUAGCUAUGUUAAGAGAGGUAAAGAAGAGAUCGACUUAAUAUAUAACCUCCCAAAAAUCUUCUCUAUGUUUUAUCAUGUAAUUGUCAUCCAGCCAAAUAAUUAUCAAAUGAUUGAUUCAAUCAUUCAAAAUCAAAUGAGAAUGGUGUCUUACAGCUUGAUAGAACCACUACAUUAUCUAAUUACACUGCCUUUAUAUUUCAUUAAAGUUCCUAUUAUGAAUGAGAUAUUAUCUUUAUAAAUUAGCAAAUAAUAGAUUUAUUGAUAUACUAAUAUUUGCUAAAUAUAUUUUUCAUAGUUCCAAAAUUAUUAAUUUUAUCAACGUUCUAUUCUAUAUAAUUAAAAGUAAGUAACAAUUCUUGGAUGAAGUACUACGAUUUCCGGUAGAAAAAGCUAUGAGACGAAUUUUUGUGGGUUCUUAUAAUGUAUUAGUUCCUCGUGAAUAUGUCCAUACCAAUCAACUAAAAUAAAAAUAAAAAAUUUAAUAGUUAAAUGCUUAUUUAAAAGGUGGUAGUUUGUGUUAGUUUUCUCCGAAAAACCUUAACUAUGUAUUUUAUUUUCUGAAAAUAUUCUUAAAAAUUUCAAAUCUGAAAAAAAAAAUUGAAAGAAUGUUUUGAACCAGAUUAAAAGAAAGAAGUUUACAAUAAUUUUUUCAUAUUUGAAUGUCAUGUAUAUAACGGAAUGAAAUUAUUAUGGGAGAGAAAUUAAAGUCUCACGUAGGGAUGGCAAUGGGGCAGAUAUGGGUUGGAUUUACUCUGCUCCAGAUCCAAAUCCAUAAUAAAAAUCAAGAUCCGUAUCUGCUCCAGAUCCGUCAUGAAUCCAUAUUUUUCGCUCCAUAUCCAGAUCCAAAAAAGAAAUAAAUAUCUAUAUCUGCUCCAAAUCCGAAAAAAAAAAUUAAAAUCCAAAUAUGCUCUAGAUCCGUCAUGAAUUCUAAAAUUCAGUAAUAAAAAAGUAAUAAUUUUUUAGAUUGAAAAUUGAAGGCUAAAAUGUAUUGAUAACAAAUAAAUUAUAUAAUUUUUCUCAAAAAUAUAAUAAAUAUUGUAGCUUAUACUUUUACACCAAAACAACAAAUAAGAAAGAUAAUAAAAUAUCAUUAUGAAGUAAUUGCAGGAGUAAGAUCAAUCUAAUAUUCUAUUGUCUCCUUCAUCAUUCUAAUAUCUACGAUACACCUACCCUCAUUCCUACAACAUUAGAUAAUGAUAUAUAAAUUAAAUAUGAUUUAUAUUCAGUCCUUUAUUAUUUUUAUUAUGACCAUAUUUGACUAAAUAUAUGAAUAACUAUAUUCCUUAAAAAUUAUUUGGCUAAUAUAAUAAAAUAAAUUGCCAGGUUAUAUUACUUGGCUUGCAAUUUGAAUAUUGCAUGUACAUGCUUUGAGGUUGGCUGACUUUUAAAUUUACAAAACUAACCUUUAAGUUUUAAGAGUUUAAAUGCAUGGUAAAUACUACUAAUAUGUUAUGAAUAAAAUUUAUUAUCAUUAUAAUUUCACAAUUGUUAAGAAACUUUUAAAAUAAAAUAAAAUUAAAAGAUGAGUGGAUAUGGAUAUGGAUUUAGAUAUUAAGAUAGAUCCAUAUCUGCUCCAGAUCCGUCUUAGAUCCGCACAUCGAUAUCCAAAUCCGAUCCAAAUCCGAUCCGAUUGGAUUUGGGUCACGUGGAUCUUGGAUCAGAUCCAAUCCAUUGCCAUCCCUAGUCUCACUCUCACGUAGAAUUUUUGUGUUUGAGAAGACUAAAAAUUUGUAAAAUAUAACUAAAUUAAGAAAAAAAAGGUUAUUUUUUGGUAACAUAUAUGUAUUUUUUUUUAUAUUACUUUGUUGUUAACAUUAAACAAAUAAAAAUAUGAUAACCAAAAAAAAUUUAUUAGCAUUUACGUGGCAUGACUAUUUGUUUGAAAUUUGGGAAAGACAACGAAAAACAUGAUGCAAUAUAUCACAGCAUUGUAUUCUCGACUCACACCGAAAGCCAAACAAGGGAAAGUUUUAUUGGAAAAACAGAAAUGUAAUUAACCACGUGACAAUUUAUUUAUUACAUAAUCUUGAAAAUGAAGAACGCAAACAAUUGCUAAUCAAGCAGUAGAUGUGAAGUUAAAAUUGGAACAUGUUGUCCGACGGAACAGGAGAGAAGAGCUGAAGCCUAGCCUUGAUGUGGCCAAAUCAAACUGCAGAAGAUUGUCUUCCAAUUGAUGUCCUCCGAUCACAAUUGAAGUCCUAGGAUUCACUCCACCGUCCACAAAACCAAGGCACAUCACGUUGCUUUUGACUUGCACCAUUGAGUUUGCACCAAAAAUUCUCCAGUACACGUCGCUGCUUUGCAAGACAAGAUCGAUCUGAGGCACUGCUGGGCCGACACGUGUGCUGCCAAUGCGGGUAGAAUCAAAGCACGCCCCAAAAGGUGAAACUGAAUCGACUCUAGGCGCAUUAGCCAACUCUUUGGUGAAAGCUUUAACGAAAGCUUCGUAGAUUGAUGACUCCAACACUGUGUAAGGAUGGACGGUGCUGAUCUUGGUUCCGCCGACACCGUUUUUGUCAAUAGAUAGCAAAGAAGUGUUUAACGGGACAACAUGUCCGUUGAUUUUAACGGACUUGACUCCAAUGAAGUAAUCAGUUGAAGGUCGGGGCCUGAAAAGAAGAGUUGCUGUGGACACAGGAUUGAGGAUAAGUGGGGUGUAUAUGAGGGACGUGGAAACGUCAACACCAGGGAGCAUCACAUAAGGCCCGUCGCCAAAGAAGACAGCACCGCUAGCUUUGGUAGAAGAGCUCAAGCAAAUGGCAAAUUUUCUAGGAAAGCUGAAAGCAGAAGAGAACAGAGAUGGAAGUGAAAUUGAGUUUCUUCCAAGGCCAGCCAUGCCCCUAACACCGUUAGCGAGAUCUGUCAAAUGAAACCUAUCGGCACACACAAAGAGGAGCUUAGGCACCGAAACAACUCUACCCGGGUUCUUCCCGUUAGUAGACUGGAUAGACGCGACAUCCAUGGACAACGGGCCAUUGAAACUAAUGCCAUUUAUAGUGUUAUCCGGUAAGAGAUUGCAGGUAUUGUUGUUGCAGCCUGGCCUAGGUUGAGAAUCAGAGCAAUCCCAACAAAAUGGAGCAUUAGCAAGAGAGCAUGGAGCGGAGUGGCAAGGGGGAGAUGUGAAGGAAGAUGACUCAUAAUCUUCCAAACAAACCACCCAGAGAAACUGACCACCGAGAUCAAGGGUAUAUUUCACAGGCACAAGUGGGGUUCUUUGGUUGAUUUGAGUGAGGUAUUGGAGAGUUGAUGCAUCUUUGGUGACGGGAAGAAUUAAUGCUUUUGGUCUAAAAGAUGUUUGGGCUAUGCAGGGAGAGAUGAUCACGGAAAGGACAAGUGAGAAAAAGAGAAGAUAAUUGUAAGAGAGAGCCAUAUCUUUGGCUCUAAGUGCUGCGUUGUGGAUAGAGUACUGAGCAGCCAUUAUAUAAGAUUUGUGAACGCGUUGAAGCUUUUGUCCACGACUAAAUCCAAUUUAUUCAUCCAUUCGGUGCAGACAGUCUGUAUUUGAAAAUUACACGAGUUGACAAGUCCAAAACAAUCGGCUGCUAACAACCAAUGGACUAAUUUCUAAAAUUAGAUAAAUUUUUGGAUUAUCUUUAACCUAUUAUAUCAACCAUUUAAUAAAUAAAUAGUAUUAUAUACACACACAUUUAUUUUAAAGAACCAGAUGCAAUUGGCGGUUAUAUAAAAUUUAAUUACACAUGUUAUACAUGAAUUAAUCAAUUAUAAUACAUCUAAUAUAUCACAAAAAUUCCUUCUAAGAAAUUGAGUAGAGGUAUUGAUGGGUAGAAUGGAUUCUCCUUUAAAAUGUAUGAAAGUAGAAAUGUAAACUGUAUCAUGGUAGAUUUAAUUUAAAUUUCUAAUCGUAAACAAAAAUUGUAAUACCCAAAAUAUUUUUUUAUAAAAUAAAAAAAAAAAAGCUCAACCGUAGAUAAUCAAUGACUAGCCAUCCCUAAAUCAAUGACUUGGGCCGGUUUCUUCUGGAUCAACUUCAGAAUAGCCCUAGUCUGCUUCUUAAAAGAGGACAUAAAGCUAACCAUGAUUCUAUUUCCACCCCCUAAAAACACUUAUAAAACCCUCUUUGUUAAUGUUAAUUACAAAAGUAUCCCUGCACAUUUAUUUUUGAGAACUCUCGAGCCAUUCACUCUCUCCUCAAGGUAGCACAAUAAUGCUGCAUUUAUCAAACUGGAAUCGGAAUGAGUUGGAAUUGGAUUGGAUAGGAAUGGAAAUAGGCUGGAAUUGGAAUGGAGAAUGAGAAUUAUAAUAAGUUGUUUUCUUGAACUAUAGGAAUCAGAAUCAGAAUAAAUUACAUUGUUAUAAAUUACUAACAAGUCCUUAAUUAUUGUUAAUAAUAAUAAUGACAUUAUUGACAAUACUAAUAAUAAAUAAUAAUAAUUAAUAAAUUUUAAAUAAUAUUAAUAUUAAUGUCAUUAAUGACAGUAAUAAUAACAAUUAAAAUAAUAAUAAUUAAUUAUUGUUGUGAUUUAAUUUCAUUAUUAUUAUAUUAAUGUUAUUUAAAAUAUAUUAUUAUAAUUAAUUUCAUUAUUAUUAUUAUUAUUAUUAUUAUUAUUAUUAUUAUUAUUAUUAAAUAAUGAAGGACCUACUUGCGAAUUACACAAACUUCCAAUUUUUUUUUUUAAAAUUUGGUUACGGGAAGAAUUAAUGCUUUUGGUCCAAAAGAUGUUUGGGCUGUGCAGGGUGAGAUGAUCGCGGAAAGGACAAGUGAGCAAAAGAGAAGAUAAUUGUAAGAGAGAGUCAUA
This 13616-nucleotide long non-coding RNA is filed under the name Citrus maxima (pomelo). RNAcentral's name for it is "long non-coding RNA (CMAX_LNC003607)". The record is from RNAcentral. Lineage: Eukaryota; Viridiplantae; Streptophyta; Magnoliopsida; Sapindales; Rutaceae.